RNAcentral lists this ribosomal RNA (484 nucleotides) under Austropyrgus cooma. RNAcentral describes it as "partial 16S ribosomal RNA". It matches the Rfam family "Bacterial large subunit ribosomal RNA", at positions 1839 to 2586 of the family's 2925-position model. Lineage: Eukaryota; Metazoa; Mollusca; Gastropoda; Littorinimorpha; Tateidae. The record is from RNAcentral.
UAAAAAAUAAAGAGUCGAGCCUGCCCAGUGAUAAAUAUUUAACGGCCGCGGUACUCUGACCGUGCAAAGGUAGCAUAAUCAUUUGCCUUAUAAUUGAAGGCUAGUAUGAAUGGUUUGACGAAAACAAUACUGUCUCUUUUUAAUUUUAUAAAAUUUGAUCUUUAGGUGAAGAAGCCUAAAUAAAAUUGAAAGACAAGAAGACCCUAUCGAGCUUAAAAAAAUUUUGUUAAAAUAAAAUGGCUAUAAAAGACCUGCUAUAACAAAAAAUUUUAGUUGGGGCGACUAAGGAACAAAAAAGCUUCCGCUUUAUAAUAAAAGCUUAUAAGCUAUGAUCCAAAAUUCUUGAUUAAAAAAAUUAGCUACCGUAGGGAUAACAGCAUAAUCUUUUUUGAGAGUUCUUAUCGAAAAAUAGGUUUGUGACCUCGAUGUUGGACUAGAAUAUCCUAAAUGAUGCAGAAGUCUUUAAGGGUUGGUCUGUUCGACC